UGGGGAAUAUUGGACAAUGGGCGAAAGCCUGAUCCAGCCAUGCCGCGUGUGUGAAGAAGGUCUUCGGAUUGUAAAGCACUUUAAGUUGGGAGGAAGGGCAGUAAGUUAAUACCUUGCUGUUUUGACGUUACCGACAGAAUAAGCACCGGCUAACUCUGUGCCAGCAGCCGCGGUAAUACAGAGGGUGCAAGCGUUAAUCGGGAAUUACUGGGCGUAAAGCGCGCGUAGGUGGUUUGUUAAGUUGGAUGUGAAAGCCCCGGGCUCAACCUGGGAACUGCAUCCAAAACUGGCAAGCUAGAGUACGGUAGAGGGUGGUGGAAUUUCCUGUGUAGCGGUGAAAUGCGUAGAUAUAGGAAGGAACACCAGUGGCGAAGGCGACCACCUGGACUGAUACUGACACUGAGGUGCGAAAGCGUGGGGAGCAAACAGGAUUAGAUACCCGAGUAGUCCCUGAGCGGGCUGGCAAGGCGCAU
RNAcentral lists this ribosomal RNA (473 nucleotides) under uncultured bacterium. Its description in RNAcentral is "bacterial SSU rRNA". It matches the Rfam family "Bacterial small subunit ribosomal RNA", at positions 355 to 825 of the family's 1533-position model. The record is from RNAcentral.